This 463-nucleotide ribosomal RNA is filed under the name uncultured bacterium. Its description in RNAcentral is "partial 16S ribosomal RNA". It matches the Rfam family "Bacterial small subunit ribosomal RNA", at positions 339 to 795 of the family's 1533-position model. The record is from RNAcentral.
CUACGGGAGGCAGCAGUAGGGAAUUUUCGACAAUGGGGGGAACCCUGAUCGAGCAAUGCCGCGUGAAUGAAGAAGGUCUUCGGACUGUAAAGUUCUUUUAUUGGAGAAGAAUGGUCGCGCCAGGAAAUGGGUGUGAUUUGACGGUAUCCAUUGAAUAAGCCCCGGCUAACUACGUGCCAGCAGCCGCGGUAAUACGUAGGGGGCGAGCGUUAUCCGGAAUUAUUGGGCGUAAAGCGUGCGUAGGCGGUUUGUUAAGUCACUUGUAAAAGAUCUCAGCCCAACUGAGUAGGGCGAGUGAAACUGGCAGACUUGAAUACGGUAGAGGUAAGCGGAAUUCCAUGUGUAGCGGUGGAAUGCGUAGAUAUAUGGAGGAACACCAAUGGCGAAGGCAGCUUACUGGGCCGGAAUUGACGCUGAGGCACGAAAGCGUGGGGAGCAAACAGGAUUAGAUACCCGCGUAGUC